UCCCGCCCACUAUUUGACCCACGCGGGCCGCUCCCCGCCCCUGACGCCUGGGACCCGGGCCAGACCUCCCCCGACGUCCCCUCCCCGCGCCCGGCCUCCCCCCAGCCCGCCCUCCGCUGUCCGCACCCCUGUCCGCUUCGUGGACGCCCGCCCACCCAGCCCUGCCCGGGCGUCACGGAAACCCUGGAUGACGACAGGUGCCUCCUGGCUCCUGGGAUUGCGGUGGGGGGCAAAGGGUCACCCUGAGUCAGCCGGACCGAGUAGGCGCAGGGGGCGUUGCUGGGGUCCGGCAGGGGUGUCCCACUGUUGGGACUGUGCCAGAGGAGCUGCGACGCCGACCGCAGAGGUCUAGAUGCCCAGAUGCCCAGGAGCUGCCUCCCAAGAAGAGAGAUCACCUGUGCACCCCCCCCCCCAAGGGAAUGAAAAGCUGCUUCUGGAAGCAGAGGUGUUGGGGGGAGCUGCCUAGGGCCUUCCCGGAGCUACAGGUGCCCCCAGCCCGUCCCUCAGCACCCCAGCCCCUCUGAAGCUGACCGCGUCUGCCAGGGUGUCCCGCUCAGAUGCCACUGAAGAGGGCAGUCUCCCCACCCAGAGGUUUUUGCAAAAGAGCAUCCUAAAGGCAGAGGUGGGAGUGGGUGAGGGAGCUGCUGGGGGGCCUGCAGCCUGGAGGAGGAAAGGUAGGCCUCCCGCGCGAGCCUCCUGUGCCGUAAUAGAGGUCUCCUCACCCAGGGGACCCCCUCUUCCCCUGGGUUUCACGCUCUCUGUUGCUCUCCCGAAAUUAAUUUUUGAACAAGCAGACCCACAUUUUCAUCUUGCAGUGUAGCGGUCCUGAAGGUCCUGAAGGGGCGGGGGCAGGGGCUGGACCAGCAGGGAGUCAACCUGGGAGCCUUGUCUUGCCUUCAUUCACUCAUUUUUUUUUUUUUUCACUCAUUCAUUGGUGUGGCCAACACUUACUUAUCCAACGCUGAAUCAUUUGCCAGGCUCUUCUGGGUACCGGAAACUUCAGCUAUGAAGGACUAGGAGCCGGGAGCCGGCACCCUGGCAGGGACAUGCUGAACAGACAACUCACACCUGGAACGUGUGUACAUCCGUGGCCCGUCUCUCCCGCCGUAACGAACGCUCUAGAAGGACAUUGCCUAUCUCGUCCAUGGCUCUAGCUCCAGCACAUAGGACAGUGGUGACCAGCACACCCGAUGUGCUCAGUGAACACGUGUUGAAUGCGUCCCCCCCUGCAGUGAAGCCCUAACUCCCCAUCCCUGUUAAUGCGACCUUAUUUGGAAAUGAUCGGUCAAGUUGAGGUCAUCAGGGUGGGCUCUGAUCCAAUAUGACCGUGUCCUUACAAAAAAGGGGAGACUGAAGACAGACACAUAUAGAGGGAAAGGUGAUGUGAAGACACAGAAAGAGUGCCAUCUACGAACCAUGGAACCCCUGAGACCGCCAGAAAUUCAGAGGGAGGCCUGGAACAGACAUCUUGAUCUUGAACUCCUAGUCUUGAGAAUUUUGAGCCGAUAUAUCUGUGUCGUUGGUGGCCUUUGUUAGGGCAGCCCUGGGAAAGGAAGACACCCAGCUUAUUCCUUCUGUGGUCCCCUGUGGGCGUGUCCAGCUCCCCAUCCGUCCGUGCCCCACACUGUAGACUAUUGUCAACUGUCUUUCCAAUGCUGAGCGCCCUGAAGGCAAGAGAACUAUGUCUGAUUGGCUCUGCUCCCUAGCACCCAAGCUGUGUUUUUAUCCUACGUUGGAAAAUGUGUAGUGAGCCCCUCCCAAGUGUCAGGUAUAAGGCCAGGCCUGGGGACAACAAAAUGAAGCCACAGUUUGUGUCAAAUGCCAUGGGAAACUGGGAGGGAGAGAAAGACAGAGAGAGAGAGAGAGGGAGGGAGAGAGACUGCCUGGCAGAGGGCAGGAACUCCACGAAUGCCCCAGACUUCCGUAAAAAUCACCUCUGCUUUUAUUUCA
This is a long non-coding RNA of Felis catus (domestic cat), 1950 nucleotides long. RefSeq lists it as uncharacterized. The record is from RefSeq and is a predicted model, not a curated record. The transcript is spliced from 3 exons. NCBI's taxonomy places the organism in Eukaryota, Metazoa, Chordata, Mammalia, Carnivora, Felidae.